Molecule: ribosomal RNA, 867 nt
Filed under: Salmonella enterica
Lineage: Bacteria; Pseudomonadati; Pseudomonadota; Gammaproteobacteria; Enterobacterales; Enterobacteriaceae
Also listed under: 1 other name
Description: partial 23S ribosomal RNA
Rfam family: Bacterial large subunit ribosomal RNA
Source: RNAcentral
GUAACUAUAACGGUCCUAAGGUAGCGAAAUUCCUUGUCGGGUAAGUUCCGACCUGCACGAAUGGCGUAAUGAUGGCCAGGCUGUCUCCACCCGAGACUCAGUGAAAUUGAACUCGCUGUGAAGAUGCAGUGUACCCGCGGCAAGACGGAAAGACCCCGUGAACCUUUACUAUAGCUUGACACUGAACAUUGAGCCUUGAUGUGUAGGAUAGGUGGGAGGCUUUGAAGUGUGGACGCCAGUCUGCAUGGAGCCGACCUUGAAAUACCACCCUUUAAUGUUUGAUGUUCUAACGUGGACCCGUUACCCGGGUUGCGGACAGUGUCUGGUGGGUAGUUUGACUGGGGCGGUCUCCUCCUAAAGAGUAACGGAGGAGCACGAAGGUUGGCUAAUCCUGGUCGGACAUCAGGAGGUUAGUGCAAUGGCAUAAGCCAGCUUGACUGCGAGCGUGACGGCGCGAGCAGGUGCGAAAGCAGGUCAUAGUGAUCCGGUGGUUCUGAAUGGAAGGGCCAUCGCUCAACGGAUAAAAGGUACUCCGGGGAUAACAGGCUGAUACCGCCCAAGAGUUCAUAUCGACGGCGGUGUUUGGCACCUCGAUGUCGGCUCAUCACAUCCUGGGGCUGAAGUAGGUCCCAAGGGUAUGGCUGUUCGCCAUUUAAAGUGGUACGCGAGCUGGGUUUAGAACGUCGUGAGACAGUUCGGUCCCUAUCUGCCGUGGGCGCUGGAGAACUGAGGGGGGCUGCUCCUAGUACGAGAGGACCGGAGUGGACGCAUCACUGGUGUUCGGGUUGUCAUGCCAAUGGCACUGCCCGGUAGCUAAAUGCGGAAGAGAUAAGUGCUGAAAGCAUCUAAGCACGAAACUUGCCCCGA